CUUCCGGUUUGGGUGUGGUCGUGGAGUGGGCUUUGCUGCAGGUGAUUGCAGGGAGUGGAAUGUUGCGACUGGCGUCUGGCAGAUGUAAACCGAACCAAAACACUGAAGGCAAUAUGCUGUAAAUGCAUCUGGAUAUGCCCUAAUUGGAUGAUAAAGGCACCUCAACCCCUUUAUGAAAGAGGAUGCUCAGAGCCCUACUCCAAAGAUGAAUUCAGCCACAGUCACUGUUCACCAUAGACUCAAACUAUACUAUCCAAUUUCACAUCUUUUUUCUUGACUGAAACGACGUUCAGAUCAUCUCCCUUCUCAUCUUCAGCUUGUUUUCUCAUCUUUGGUUUGGCAGCCAGCACCUCUAGCCUGGAGGCAUCAAACUUCAGCACACACCAGAAUCUCCUGGCCUGCCUAUUAAAGCAGCUUGUUGGACCCCCACUAGCAUUUACGCUUCAGUAUGCUUGGAUUGUCAUGGGAUUGUUAUCUGCAAUGGACUUGGAGACCUUAUGAAGGUAUUCCUGGGAACUACAUCUAUUGGGGCAAGCAAUUGUUGUAGAGGAACCAGCUAUCAGUGAAUAUGUGAUUUGUGGAUUAUGGAUUUAGAAAGAUCAGAAGAUAGAAAAAAAUCCCUGAUAUUAAAAGAGAAGACAUUAGGUGUUUGAUAGACCUUUGUGAUGGACCAGCAGGAACAAGUUGCCGAUGCUUCUAUCGGGUAAUUGGAGUAACUGUCCUUUCAUUUUUAAUUUCAUGCUGCAAAUUUAUAAUAUUGGGAGUAUUAAAUUACCUCAUAUCUAAAUUGGGGAUAAUAAAAGUAUUGCCUCAUGGGUUGAUUCUGAAUAUUAAAAGAGUUAAUUAAUAUACGUAAACUGCUUAGAACAGUAUCUAGCGCAUCGUAAGUGCCACUCUGCUUCUGUGCUUUGAGUAUUGCUGUUAAAAGCUGUCUACCCCCAAUUAACACCAAAUCUAAGGAAUACAUACUGUGGGGAUCCUGAUGAAGGACGCUUGUCAGGGUGAAGAUGAUCUUUGCAUUGCAGAUCAACAUGAUGAGAAGAGGGAUGAUGAAGAGGCAGGUGAAGGUGAAAAAGUUAUAAAAGGCUUGAUGCCACCAUUGUGGAAAACUGCAGUGUGUUACACAUUGAGAGAAACCUUCUGUCUGUCCAGAGUCAUCUUCUAAAUGGAUCAUCCUGAAGAUGUAUAACUGUAUAAGAAAAUUUUUAAAAAAGUGAUGUUGCUUAUUUUCAAACAGUAUUUGCAAGUUUUCUUGAAAGUUUUCUCUUCUGUAUUCUGCUAACCUUCUAACAUGUUGUUGCCCAAAGCAACUGCUAAGUAUCUUGAUAUUCUUUUGGCAUUUCUACAAAAAGUUAUAAGUGGAUUUUUACUUAAAAUAUGUUUGGGUAAUGUGAAUGGAUCUGUAGGAUUUUGGAUUUCUUUUGCAAUUAUUUCAACCUCGCAGCACAAUCAUCAACCAAAGAUUUAAACCUUGUUUGUAUUUCAAUUUCAGAUGCUAUUAUGCUGAGUAAACUUUUUGCGAGUGAUUUUGCAAGUGAUUUUAUUGUUAUAUCCUCAGCACAUAAAACUGUGUCUGGUAUUUAGAAUAUACCCUCAAAAUACAAAUUUAGAUUUUAUUUUUGAGACAAAAUCUCAUUAAAAUGGUCAUAAAACAUGAACAGUUUACAGAAAAGAUAUAACAGUGGCCCUUAAUCAUAUGAAAAGACGUUCAACCUCACUUAUGAGAGCAGUGCCAACCAAUUAAGGCUACAAUGAUAUGCUAUCUUCCACUAUCAAGAUUGGCAAAAUUAAAAAAAAAAUAGCACACUUUCAUGGUAAGGCUGUAGGGAAACAGGGACUCAUACAUUGCUAAUGGGAAUGCAAAUUGGUACAACCAUUAAGGAGGGGAAUUUGGCAAUAACUAGCAUAACUACAUAUGCAUUUACCUUUGACUCAGCAAUCUGACAUUCAGGAAUUUACCCUGAAGAUACACCCCCACUUUCAUUAUAUGAAAAUACAUAUGCACAAGAUUAUCCAUUGAUGCAUUGCUUAUAACUGAAAAACAUUGAAAAUAAUCUAAAUAACAAUUCAUUGAAUAGUAACUGAAUAAACUACAGUUGGCCACACAAUGGGGUGCUGUACAAUUGUAAAAAAAGAGUAAGGGUAACUUGUGUGUGUGUGUGUGUGUGUGUGUGUGUGUGUGUUUGCGUGUGUACACAUAAAUACAUUUAUUCCAGCUCUGCCUGUGGAGAGAGCCUAGGAAUAAUGACAUCUGAGUAGCAAUGAGCACACCCAGCACUCCAGCACCCAGAUCUUGUUUUCUAAGUAUCAUUCUCUAUCAGAAGGAACCAGACCUAACUGGAGAAAUGGGUGAUCCCAAGGCUGUGGAAAGCAAAGUACAAUAUGUCCUUGGAACAGCUGUUGUGCUGAAAAGUCAGGAAAUGCCCAGAGAAUGAUGGAGCAUGUGAAAAAUGUUCAGGCACCAGCUUGAAAGAGCUUCAGUUGGCCAAAUCUGGGAUAGUUUAAGCAUGAAAACAAACAAACACUGAUAGAAAACAAUGAUAAACUAUCGAAUAAAGAAAGAAACCAUGACUCCAUGCUGAUAUAAAUUACAAACCAACAACGACAAAUAAAUGGAGAGAGGAAAAAGCUCUUUACUGUAGAAAGUCAAUUAAUAAAUGUAAAAGGUAUAGUGGAAGUAGUGAUUACCAUUUUGUAAUCACUAUAAUAAUAAUUGAUUCAGGCAAGAAUCACCAAUGGAUGGUAAAAAUAUGGGUGUAAGUUUGAGGAGAGUAGUUUAUUUAUAUCAUCUCAAAGUAUCUACCUGCAGGAUACAUGUCAUUAUAACGUUAUUAUAAAAUAAUAACUUUACUAGUCAAGAAAUAACCAAAUAAUUAACAUUGCCAAUAAUGGGACCAAUUGACAGUUUCUGCUUCCUUCUAGAAUGUGCUGCUGUGUCACCUCUUAGGUAUUUUUUGCUAAAAGUGUGUGGAUGAAGAAUGUCACCUACCAUAUCAGUAAACAAAGAAUGUUGUGGCCAUCAAGCCAUAGCCCCUGCAACCACCCCCGACUGUGCACACUGAGGGCAUUCAGGAUGGAAAAAGGCAGGAUACUGGCUCUAGAUAGUUAAGGUGCAUUUCAAAGGGAUGAUUUCAAUAAGUCUGGACUCUUGCACCUUCCCAUACUUAGAAAAACACUAAAUUCAUUAACUUGAGAUAUAUCAUUUUUCUUUAAUUAACAAUAAUCUUUUGAUGUUCCGACUACCUGUUUUUUGUUGCAAAACAACCUAUACAUCCUGGCUCCUCCCUUGCUUCUUGGGAAUAUUACCUCAGAGUUAUCUGAGAGGCUGUCUUCUGGGCUUACGUCCUCAGAAAAUCUACUGAAUAAAACAUAAUUCUCAACUUUUAGGCUGUACACUUUUUUUCAGUCGACAAGUGCAUAACCUGAAUCUACCCACGAGCAAACAUCAGACAAACUCAAAUUGAGGGGCAUUCUACAAAAUAAUUGGCCUGCACUCUUCAAAAAUGUUAGCAUCAUGAAAUUCAAAGGAAGACCAAGGAAUGGUUCCAGUUUAAAGGAGACUAAAAAGACAUGGCAACUGAAUCCCUCGCAUAAUCUUGGAUUUUCUUUUGCUAAAAGGGAUAUUAUUGAGACAGCGAGUGAGAUAUGGAUAAGGUAUAUAGAUAAAAAAUAGCACUGUAUUAGUGAUAAUUUCCUGAUUUUGAUAAUUAGUACUGUGGUUAUGUGCUAGAAAAAACACAAUGAAGUAUUGAAAGGGACGUCAUGUCUGAACUUACUUUUAAACAAUCCAGAAAAAAAUGUACACAAGAGAGAGAAUAAGGCAAAUAAACAAAUGUAGUAAAAUGUUAAUAUUUGGGGAAUCAAGGGAAAGGUAUCCUAGAAAUCUUUGUAUGAUUCUUGCAACCUUUCUCUAAAUGUGAAAUUAUGUUAAAAAAAGAACAAGUUGAGUUAACUAUUAAGGAAACGUUGCAAGUGGUUUUCAAAAACAAGUUUUAGUGGACAUUUAUUUAUUCUUUCCCCAUCCAUCAAGCACAUUUCUGACUUCGUCAUUUCCAAGAUUUUCUACUGAAAAACUUCGUUUUACCAUGAAACAUUAAAAUGAAAAGAGUGCCCAAGCACUUAAAAACUGAUAGCAAGUUAAUUCAAGCAAAAAUGUUACAGGAUUUUUUAAGCAAAUGAGGGAGAGUAUACAUUUUCAUUAGUUUUGAUUAAAUUAGUAAAUUUAAAUUACAUUUAAUUAACUUAAUAGGCCCAGAAUUUCUUUCCUUUUGGGGAGGGCUGGAGUGGGAGUAGAU
This is a long non-coding RNA of Aethalodelphis obliquidens (Pacific white-sided dolphin), 4295 nucleotides long. RefSeq lists it as uncharacterized. The record is from RefSeq and is a predicted model, not a curated record. The transcript has 5 exons. NCBI's taxonomy places the organism in Eukaryota, Metazoa, Chordata, Mammalia, Artiodactyla, Delphinidae.